RNAcentral lists this ribosomal RNA (732 nucleotides) under uncultured fungus. RNAcentral describes it as "bacterial SSU rRNA". It matches the Rfam family "Eukaryotic small subunit ribosomal RNA", at positions 356 to 1093 of the family's 1831-position model. The record is from RNAcentral. Lineage: Eukaryota; Fungi.
CGGGUAACAGGGAAUUAGAGUUCGAUUCUGGAGAGAGAGCCUGAGAAAUAGCUACUACAUUCAAGGAAGGCAGCAAGCGCGCAAAUUACCUAAUCCCGAUAUGGGGAGGUAGUAACAAUAAAUAAUAAUACAAGGCUCUUACAGGUUUUGUAAUUAGAAUGAAUACAAUUUAAAUCCCUUAACAAGGAACAAUUGGAGGGCAAGUCUGGUGCUAGCAGCUAUGGUAAUUCCAGUUCUAAUAGUGUAUAUUAAAGUUGUUGCAGUUAAAAAGCUCGUAGUUGAAUUUCGGGUUCUAUCAUUGGUCAGGCUAACCAGUCUGUACUAGCAUAUAGAAUUCCUACCUUCUGGAGAAUCAUCAUGUUAUUAAUUUAGCAUGGUAGGAAACCAAGACCUUUACUUUGAAAAAAUUAGAGUAUUUAAAGCAGGCUUACGUCUGAAUAUAUUAGCAUAGAAUAAUAGAAUAGGACGGUAGUCCUGUUUUGUUGGUUUCUGAAUCAUCGUAAUGAUUAAUAGGGAUAGUUGGGGCAUUAGUAUUCAAUUGUCAGAGAUGAAAUUCUUGGAUUUAUUGAAGACUAACUUCUGCAAAAGCAUUUGCUAAGGAUGUUUUCAUUAAUCAAAAACGAAAGUUAGGGGAUCGAAGACGAUCAGAUAUUGUUGUAGUCUUAACUAUAAACUAUGCCGAUUAGAGAUCAGAUGAUGUUAAAUUUUAUUGACUUGUUCGGUGCCUUACGG